CAUGCCUUUCUGUGACAACAGGUGGCCCUGUGGCUGCAGACGAAUCCUGCAGGAAACGCGUUCUUGUCACUGAAUUGUCACCUCAGAGAACGGCUUUCUCCUUUUUGUUCUUCCAGAAGGUGGCCUGGAGGGGUUGCACUCACAUGGCUUCAUCCCUGCUAUGUAGAGAGUGCCUGUUGUACAGAGAUUUAGUUUCAGUCACGCUGUUGUACUGUUCAAUUCCAGUUGCAGAGCCAGUAAAUUGCCCAGUUUGUUCAUGAAGUCGCAAUCCUACAAUCCCUGCAAUUGCAGGUGCAGCCUGUGGUUUUGGAGAAAGGUUUGGUUGCUCAGACGUGAGACAGGUACUCUUGGCCAUAUUCCCCCUGAUAGCAGCAUGAGAGAUUAUAUGGCUUCUGAUGCACAGUGGUGUUUCUAUCUAAAUUACGACAAUGAUCAAAAGGACUGAGGUCCUGACCCGGACUACAAGCAGGAAGAGAGACAGGCUCUUGUCAGCUCCAUCAGCUCAGAUGGUACCAACCACGUCACUGAGUCUAGAUAAACCGAUCUGGAGGUGAAGACCCACCUGGAAUGAGGAGUGCAGGACCCCUGUGAAACACCAACUCUGAACACAGAAGCUCAAAAUGUGCUGCAGUUCCUAAUACAAGCGCCUGGCAGCUUCGUUCUGGAAGAAUCAAAUGUUAAUACUUCCCGGGCCAUGUGCUAGACAGAGCUUGGAGAACAAGCUCACCACUGCUACCCCACGCCUACGAGUGACCGUCGGCUGACCAUUCAGGAGUGAGGAGUCUCUGUCGCACUGUCGGCGGUCUCAGGAUGGACAGAAGCCGGACCGCAGCGGUGAUCUCCAGCGACAAGGAGGAGCUGAAGGAAAGACUGGCUUUGCUUAAGAAGGAGUACCUCAGGACUGUCCAGAGACUGCAGCGCGCGGAGCGAUCCCAGGUGGUCUGGCGGCACGAGAGGAGCGGAAUCGCGGAGCAGUACCGCCCGCCUCAGGAAGAACCGGGCUCAGCCCAGCAGUCCUCUUGCU
Molecule: non-coding RNA, 1024 nt
Organism: Lepisosteus oculatus (spotted gar)
Lineage: Eukaryota; Metazoa; Chordata; Actinopteri; Semionotiformes; Lepisosteidae
Source: RefSeq, a predicted model, not a curated record